Molecule: ribosomal RNA, 253 nt
Filed under: uncultured bacterium
Lineage: Bacteria
Description: partial 16S ribosomal RNA
Rfam family: Bacterial small subunit ribosomal RNA
Source: RNAcentral
UACAGAGGCCUCGAGCGUUAGGCGGAAUCACUGGGCUUAAAGCGUGUGUAGGCGGACUUCUAAGUACCUUGUGAAAUCCCACGGCUCACCCGUGGAACUGCUCGGUAUACUGGUCGUCUUGAGCCUUCUAGGGGCGAGUGGAACAAAUGGUGGAGCGGUGAAAUGCGUAGAUAUCAUUUGGAACGCCAAUGGUGAAAACAACUCGCUGGGGAAGUGCUGACGCUGAGGAGCGAAAGCGUGGGGAGCGAACAGG